This 68-nucleotide transfer RNA is filed under the name Symsagittifera roscoffensis. RNAcentral's name for it is "tRNA-Pro". Lineage: Eukaryota; Metazoa; Xenacoelomorpha; Acoela; Convolutidae. The record is from RNAcentral.
CAGAAAUUCAGNUUAAGCUAAAGCUAAUAAGUUUGGGGCUUGNUAAAUAAAAUAAUUUUUAUUUCUGA